Molecule: ribosomal RNA, 253 nt
Filed under: uncultured bacterium
Lineage: Bacteria
Description: partial 16S ribosomal RNA
Rfam family: Bacterial small subunit ribosomal RNA
Source: RNAcentral
AACGUAGGACGCGAGCGUUAUCCGGAGUUACUGGGCGUAAAGGGCGUGUAGGUGGUUUCGUAAGUCUGGCGUGAAAUUUUUCGGCUUAACCGGGAAAGGUCGUCGGAUACUGCAGAACUAGAGGACGGUAGAGGCGUGUGGAAUUCCGGGUGUAGUGGUGAAAUGCGUAGAGAUCCGGAGGAACACCAGUGGCGAAGGCGACACGCUGGGCCGUACCUGACACUGAGGCGCGACAGCGUGGGGAGCAAACAGG